This 435-nucleotide ribosomal RNA is filed under the name uncultured bacterium. Its description in RNAcentral is "bacterial SSU rRNA". It matches the Rfam family "Bacterial small subunit ribosomal RNA", at positions 29 to 507 of the family's 1533-position model. The record is from RNAcentral.
AACGAACGCUGGCGGCAGGCUUAACACAUGCAAGUCGAACGCACCUUCGGGUGAGUGGCGCACGGGUGAGUGACGCGUGGGAAUCUGCCCUGGAGUGGGGGGACAACUGCUGGAAACGGCAGCUAAUACCGCAUACGCCCUUACGGGGGAAAGCUUUAUGCGCUCCAGGAUGAGCCCGCGUCGGAUUAGCUUGUUGGUGAGGUAACGGCUCACCAAGGCGACGAUCCGUAGCUGGUCUGAGAGGAUGAUCAGCCACACUGGGACUGAGACACGGCCCAGACUCCUACGGGAGGCAGCAGUGGGGAAUAUUGGACAAGUGGGGGCAACCCUGAUCCAGCAAUGCCGCGUGUGUGAAGAAGGCCUUCGGGUUGUAAAGCACUUUCACUCGCGAAGAUGAUGACGGUAGCGAGAGAAGAAGCCCCGGCUAACUCCGUG